Long non-coding RNA from Helianthus annuus (common sunflower), 302 nucleotides. RefSeq lists it as uncharacterized. Lineage: Eukaryota; Viridiplantae; Streptophyta; Magnoliopsida; Asterales; Asteraceae. The record is from RefSeq and is a predicted model, not a curated record. The transcript is spliced from 3 exons.
UUCAUAUUUUAAUUAUGUGGUUCCGAUUGUUUUAAACUGUAGAUUGCAGUAGUUGUUACAAAUGAAGUUACCCCCCGGAGAGACCUAUUAACUUGACUUCUGUUCAUGAAGAUCCCCAAAUCCCUGAUGAAGAGGCAUCACGGUGUGCAGAAUCUGGCGUGUGUUGUUAGGUAUUGAGGGAAUACUUCUGACUCUCACAUUGUUAAUCAUUUGUUGGUGAAGACAGAGAGUGUGGUUCUUCUUUUUUGUAUGGAGCCUUGCCAUAAUCUGAAUUUCUUGAAAGAUAUGGAAUGGGAUCUGGG